RNAcentral lists this transfer RNA (85 nucleotides) under Felis catus (domestic cat). It matches the Rfam family "tRNA". From Rfam's summary of the family: Transfer RNA (tRNA) molecules are approximately 80 nucleotides in length. Their secondary structure includes four short double-helical elements and three loops (D, anti-codon, and T loops). Further hydrogen bonds mediate the characteristic L-shaped molecular structure. tRNAs have two regions of fundamental functional importance: the anti-codon, which is responsible for specific mRNA codon recognition, and the 3' end, to which the tRNAs corresponding amino acid is attached (by aminoacyl-tRNA synthetases). tRNAs cope with the degeneracy of the genetic code in two manners: having more than one tRNA (with a specific anti-codon) for a particular amino acid; and 'wobble' base-pairing, i.e. permitting non-standard base-pairing at the 3rd anti-codon position. The record is from Rfam by way of RNAcentral. Lineage: Eukaryota; Metazoa; Chordata; Mammalia; Carnivora; Felidae.
GCCUAGGUGGCUCAGUUGGUUGAGCGUCUGACUUCAGCUCAGGUCAUGAUCUCACAGUCUGUAGGUUCAAGCCCUGCGUUGGGCU